GUGCACGCUGGCGGUAGGCCUCACACCUGCAAGUCGAACGGCAGCACAGUAAGAGCUUGCUCUUACGGGUGGCGAGUGGCGGACGGGUGAGGAAUACAUCGGAAUCUACUUUUUCGUGGGGGAUAACGUAGGGAAACUUACGCUAAUACCGCAUACGACCUACGGGUGAAAGCAGGGGAUCUUCGGGCCUUGCGCGAUUGAAUGAGCCGAUGUCGGAUUAGCUAGUUGGCGGGGUAAAGGCCCACCAAGGCGACGAUCCGUAGCUGGUCUGAGAGGAUGAUCAGCCACACUGGAACUGAGACACGGUCCAGACUCCUACGGGAGGCAGCAGUGGGGAAUAUUGGACAAUGGGCGCAAGCCUGAUCCAGCCAUACCGCGUGGGUGAAGAAGGCCUUCGGGUUGUAAAGCCCUUUUGUUGGGAAAGAAAAGCAGCAGGUUAAUACCCCGCUGUUCUGACGGUACCCAAAGAAUAAGCACCGGCUAACUUCGUG
This 491-nucleotide ribosomal RNA is filed under the name uncultured bacterium. Its description in RNAcentral is "partial 16S ribosomal RNA". It matches the Rfam family "Bacterial small subunit ribosomal RNA", at positions 29 to 507 of the family's 1533-position model. The record is from RNAcentral.